GACGAACGCUGGCGGCGUGCUUAACACAUGCAAGUCGAACGGAAAGGCCCUGCUUUUGUGGGGUGCUCGAGUGGCGAACGGGUGAGUAACACGUGAGUAACCUGCCCUUGACUUUGGGAUAACUUCAGGAAACUGGGGCUAAUACCGGAUAGGAGCUCCUGCUGCAUGGUGGGGGUUGGAAAGUUUCGGCGGUUGGGGAUGGACUCGCGGCUUAUCAGCUUGUUGGUGGGGUAGUGGCUUACCAAGGCUUUGACGGGUAGCCGGCCUGAGAGGGUGACCGGCCACAUUGGGACUUAGGUACGGCCCAGACUCCUACGGGGGGCAGCAGUUGGGAAUAUUGCACAAUGGGCGGAAGCCUGGUGCAGCAACGCCGCGUGCGGGAUGACGGCCUUCGGGUUGUAAACCGCUUUCGCCUGUGACGAAGCGUGAGUGACGGUAAUGGGUAAAGAAGCACCGGCUAACUACGU
This 467-nucleotide ribosomal RNA is filed under the name uncultured bacterium. Its description in RNAcentral is "partial 16S ribosomal RNA". It matches the Rfam family "Bacterial small subunit ribosomal RNA", at positions 28 to 506 of the family's 1533-position model. The record is from RNAcentral.